AUACGUAGGGGGCGAGCGUUGUCCGGAAUGAUUGGGCGUAAAGGGCGCGUAGGCGGCCCGGUAAGUCUGGAGUGAAAGUCCUGUUUUUAAGAUGGGAAUUGCUUUGGAUACUGUCGGGCUUGAGUGCAGGAGAGGUAAGUGGAAUUCCCAGUGUAGCGGUGAAAUGCGUAGAGAUUGGGAGGAACACCAGUGGCGAAGGCGGCUUACUGGACUGUAACUGACGCUGAGGCGCGAAAGCGUGGGGAGCGAACAGGAUUAGAUACCCUGGUAGUCCACGCUGUAAACGAUGGAUGCUAGGUGUGGGGGGUAUCGACCCCCUCCGUGCCGGAGUUAUCGCAAUAAGCAUCCCGCCUGGGGAGUACGGCCGCAAGGUUGAAACUCAAAGGAAUUGACGGGG
RNAcentral lists this ribosomal RNA (397 nucleotides) under uncultured bacterium. RNAcentral's name for it is "partial 16S ribosomal RNA". It matches the Rfam family "Bacterial small subunit ribosomal RNA", at positions 523 to 918 of the family's 1533-position model. The record is from RNAcentral.